This 68-nucleotide transfer RNA is filed under the name Plectoderini sp. SX-2018. RNAcentral's name for it is "tRNA-Ala". Lineage: Eukaryota; Metazoa; Arthropoda; Insecta; Hemiptera; Achilidae. The record is from RNAcentral.
AGGGUUGUAGUUAAAUAAAAUAACGAUUACAUUGCAAGUAAAAAAAAUUGAAAUAUCAAUCUACCUUA